This 253-nucleotide ribosomal RNA is filed under the name uncultured bacterium. Its description in RNAcentral is "partial 16S ribosomal RNA". It matches the Rfam family "Bacterial small subunit ribosomal RNA", at positions 524 to 776 of the family's 1533-position model. The record is from RNAcentral.
UACAGAGGGUGCGAGCGUUAAUCGGAAUUACUGGGCGUAAAGCGCGCGUAGCCGGUUUUGUAAGUCAGAUGUGAAAUCCCUGGGCUCAACCUGGGAACUGCAUUUGAGACUGCAUGGCUAGAGUAUCGAAGAGGGAAGUGGAAUUUCCGGUGUAGCGGUGAAAUGCGUAGAUAUCGGAAGGAACACCAGUGGCGAAAGCGACUUCCUGGUCGAAUACUGACGUUCAUGUGCGAAAGCGUGGGGAGCAAACAGG